This 420-nucleotide ribosomal RNA is filed under the name Triticum aestivum (bread wheat). RNAcentral describes it as "partial small subunit ribosomal RNA". Lineage: Eukaryota; Viridiplantae; Streptophyta; Magnoliopsida; Poales; Poaceae. The record is from RNAcentral.
AUGCGGACAAGACGAACCCUUGUAACAACAACGAUAAGGACAUGCUACAACCCGGUAAAGGGGAACGGCAGGCAGAAGCAGUACCCACUACAAACAAAGGAUGUAAAUAAGAUUUAUCCAUCUCACACCUCCAAGAAAGAUCGAAAGCGUGCUGUCCACGAGGUAUAUUCCGUGGAGUCCUUUGAGCCAAAAUACAAUCCUUGGUUGAAAAUCCUGAUCACAUGUAUUUGUCAUGACCACCAGACUAUCGUCCACCAUGGCGGUUUGCCCGCACUUGUCUUGGACCCGAUAUUCAACAGUUUCCACCUCAUCGAGCUUGAACCUCAGCUACGUCGAUACACUGAGAAAGAUGCACUUCGACAAGUCAUGUAUCGAGCUGGUGAAAACCAAGUUCAAGGGUAUUAUAUAUCACGGGCAUGA